Molecule: unclassified non-coding RNA, 389 nt
Filed under: soil metagenome
Description: partial contains 5.8S ribosomal RNA, internal transcribed spacer 2, and large subunit ribosomal RNA
Rfam family: 5.8S ribosomal RNA (bases 1-122)
Source: RNAcentral
GAUGAAGAACGCAGCGAAAUGCGAUACUUGGUGUGAAUUGCAGAAUCCCGUGAACCAUCGAGUCUUUGAACGCAAGUUGCGCCCGAAGCCAUUAGGCCGAGGGCACGCCUGCCUGGGCGUCACACGUCGUUGCCCCCCCAUCUACUCCUUCGGGAUUGCGGGGGGCGGAUGAUGGCCUCUCGUGCGCCUCGUCGCGCGGUUGGCCUAAAUGCCAAGUCCUCGGCGACGCACGCCACGACAAUCGGUGGUUGCGAAACCUCGGUUGCCUGUCGUGUGCGGUCGUCGCGCAUCGAGGGCUCGAAAAAAUUGCCGGGCUUCGGCUCGACUUUCAACGCGACCCCAGGUCAGGCGGGGUUACCCGCUGAAUUUAAGCAUAUCAUAAGCGGAGA